This 10944-nucleotide long non-coding RNA is filed under the name Homo sapiens (human). RNAcentral describes it as "PREDICTED lncRNA (TCONS_00214877)". The stretch from base 8749 to 8834 matches the Rfam family "mir-145 microRNA precursor family". The record is from RNAcentral. Lineage: Eukaryota; Metazoa; Chordata; Mammalia; Primates; Hominidae.
CUGGGGUGUCAAGGGGGUGGGAGGGCACUCUGGGAACAGAGGCCCAGGGAAGCUGUGCGACAAAGGGGACAUGGAAAGGGCCACGCAAGGGCUCCCACAGCUUCCCCAGAUGCCUCUUCAGACCUUUGCUCUCUCCCUGCUUCUGCUGUUCCUCCCAUGGUUGGGCUUUGCUAUGGCCCCAGCCCCAUGCUAAUAAUAGAAAUGGCAGCCAUUUAUCAUAGGUUUAUGAUGUGCCUGGAAAUAUGCUCGCACUUGACAUCUGCCUCAUUUGACCUUCACAAACAAGGCUGUGAGGUCGGAAACAGGCUCAGAGAGGUGAAGACACCGGCUUUAGAUCACACAGCCAGGAAGUGCUAGAGGCGAGAUUCAAACACAGGUCUGCAUGACUCCAAGGCCUGUGUCUUUUCUUUCCAGACAUGUGGUGGAAACCCUACGGCCCUGGAGCCCAAGGAGAGCAACGGCUGUAACAAGUGCACAGGUUUGAGUGCGCUGAGACAGGGGAACCGUGGGCAAAGAGGUCCCUCCAGAAAGAGCUGGGUGUGAGCAUGGGUUCGUGAGCUUGCCUGGAGCCCUGGCCUCAGCCCUCUCUCACUGAGGUGCCAUCUGGCUCGCAGAUGUGGCCCAUUCCCAGCCCCUCGUGUUUCUUGGAAAUGAGAAAGUCCAGGAAAGGGCACAGGGGCUUUCGCAACGACCGUGGCGAUGAUAGCUUUGACGUGUGGUCAUCCAGCCGGCCACUGCCCACACCCAAGAGAAAGCUGGAUUGAGCAUCAGGAGCCUGGGUUCAAGUCUGCCUCUCAAGCUGUUCCACAGGUGACCCUGGGCAAAUCGCACAGGCUCCUGGAACUUCAGAAAGGGGAAGAAUUAUUCCUGCCUCUGGCGACAUCAGCGAAUGUGCCUUGAGUUACGGGAGUGUUUUGAAGGCUGAAAGCUUUGUGUACACGGAAGGGGUCAAAGACAGCCACAAGCCUGUCCCUUUGGUCUUGGUCAUCAUGUUAACCCCAGGUUUCGAUUUAAUCCUACAUGCUCCUUUCUUAUGUGUGAGGCUGAGGUGGGGGCAUUGGUCAGAGGAGCCUCUGGGAAAUUUCCUUUCAGGACAGUUCUUUUGUUAAGGGGCCUGGGUGUGCUGAGAAGGGAAGGUGGCUCCUCCUGCUCUUGGAGCUUGGAGUUUCUCACAAGCUCUCCCUUAAAAGCCAGGCAGGCCAAGAAGGGAUAAUGGCUGCUCAGGGCCCAAGGGGCAGGAUCUCUGAGGCCCGGAAGAUCUCAGUAGGUUUAGCCCAAGAGUAUCCAGAAGUGGCCCAGGCCCAUUCUCCAUCCCUCAGAGCCUGGCAGCCUGGUCAGGACCCUCAAAGGCCAUGACCGUACCCGUAGGGCACCCUGGUGUCCUUCUGACAGGUGGGAUCUUUGUUUCUUACAGGCAAGGGCGCUAGCUGGUGGGAGCCACCCCGCCAUGCUGAUGUCAGAGAAGCAAGAACUCUGGAGAAGCAGCCUCCUGGGACCAGAGGAGGGCCAGCAGCAGGCAGCCCGGAGACAGAACUGCACAUGAAAGUGACUGUGACCCGCAACGGGAGCCUUGACAACCAGCCAAUUCAGAACACAGACCUUGACAUCGGAAGGCCCCGAGUUCAAAUCCUGCCUUGCUCCCUUUCAGCUGGAAAGCUGUGGUCAAAUUACUUAGCCUCUCCAAGCCAGUUUUCCCUUCUGCAAAAUGAGGUUACACAAGCUGCCACCUCACAGAAUGAGUGUGAGAAUUAAUUCUUAUUUUCCACACCCUCAUUUGACAGGGGGAGAAACAGAAGCCCAGAGAGGGAAAGGGCUUGGUUAGGAUCACACCAUGAGUUGGGGGUUAAGUCAGGAUGGGGUAGGUCCCCUCUUUCUCUGGGUGUUCCUCUCCCCCAUCCCUUAUCUCAACAUAAAUCCUCCCCAGUUGCCCAGGUUGUCCAGGCGAUUCCUGGCACACGUCCUGGGGCCUGCCCUCCACCUUUAGCCCUGCUCUGGCUUCUGCAGCAGCAGAGUCCUGGGUGACCAGCAGUGGCCCCUGGCCCUCUGAGUGGUGGUGGAGGGUGGGGGUGCACUGCAGCAAGCUCCCAGCCCAGAGCAGCCUGGCCAUAUAAGGGAAGGAGCUCAGGGAGGCCUCCUGGCUCAGGCCUGGCGAGAAAACCCAGACAGCCACUGUUUAUUUUCUCCUCCCCAGCUCACCCACGCCUCUCCAAGCCUCCCAACAGAAGACAGAGGUCCCCCACAGCCAGAGACAUUUCCUGAAGACAUGGGGAACACAGAGGCAGAAACAGCCCAUCCACCCAGGAGCUGUCCCCCACACUGCCGGGAGCCGGCACCCAGAGCCGCCAGGUAAAACUGAGGCCACCUGGUUCAACAUCACCUUUCACAGAAGGGGAAGCAGCCACAGAAAGAAGGGCCUCGUUAAGAAGUGGAACCUGGGACCCCCAAGCGGUGUCUCUCAUCCUGACUGGGGAUCCAGAGUAGGAGGGAGCCUUUGGUGGGGUAAGUGGAAUGGGGCGGGGUGGGGGGUGGCCAUAGACCCCUCUUCUCAGUAAGGCCCUCAUGUGAAGGAGGCAGGGGUUGGGACAAGUGCUAAGUAUGCAAGACUCAAGGGAAGAGCUGCUGGAGCCAGGAGAAGCACCUCCCUCCCGGCCCCUCUGCCCCUCCUCAUAGCCCAGCUGCACUGACUCCUCCUCCAGGAAGCCUUCUCAGCUUCCCCAGGGGUGGGAACCUUUUUGUCCUCCAGGUGUGCUUGGCUGUCCUUUCUUGGGCUCUCUCUCUCUCUCUCUCCUCAUCCCACUUGAGUCUGCCCCCUAUUCACCUUGUGAGGGGAAUUUUCCUUCUACUCAAUCUGACCGAGGUCCUCCAGGUCAAGGACAGCGAGGCUCUCAGUCCCACUUCCCCUUGGCACAUAGAAGAGGCAGUGCGCUGAAGGGACAGGUGAAAUGAUUAGACCCUGCCCCCAAACCAAGGCCUGGCCAAUUGGACAGGGCAUGAGACAUUCAGCGUAGAGGUUAAAACGAGGGCCCUGGGUUAGGAACCCCAGCUCAGUUCUCAGCUCUGUACCCUUGGAAAAUUCCCUUCCCAUGGAGCUUUGUGGAUGCACAAGGACUUGCACAAAGAAAACAUUCAAUAUCCAGGACUAUAAAAUUCCACAAAUGAUUGUGCUUAUUACAUUCAUUAUCACGAUGAUUAUUCCAGACACAAAGGAACAGAACGAGGCACCAACAGCAAGGGGCAAGCAGAUUCAAGGGCCACAGAGGAGAUGGAGGCAAACACCUUCCCCUGGUCAGAGGCUGUGCCUCAGCCCUUCUCCCUGCAUCAGUUUCUCCUUCAGAAGCAUGGGACUACCUCCCAUCUAGUUCUCGUUUCUAAACCUAGGGGAGAUGCUAUCUUUGCUGCAAUAAUCUUAGCCUACAUCUUGGAAUGGAAAUGGCCUUGGUGGAAAUGGUCUUCAACUCCUCUGGUCCAAGCUCAGGCCCUGUGACCCUGGAACAAUCCCCUUCCUGGUCCUCCAUGUAGGAGCAAUAACAUUCCCUUGCCAGCAGCACCAGCCAUUCUGAUGAUUAAAUGGUAUCGGACUCUGUUUUCCAAACUCAGUCAUUCAGAUGCCCCCUAUUUUAUUUCUUCCAUGUCUGCAAAUGAUUAUAAUAUUUUUAAAUGUAGGAUGAGUCCUUUUUAUUACACAUAGAAAUAGCUACUGUAAAUAGCAAACUCUAACACUGUGCCUAAUUAGGAAAUAAAGGUAACCAUAAAUACAGUAAAAAUGAAACAAUGUUAUUAUGGUUUAACCUGAUAGUGUGGCUUGCAAGGCCCUGGGCCUGAAGCCUGGGCAAUAAGUGAGAGUUAGAAAGGUGUCAAAGACAUGAUAGCAGCAAACUGAGGCUUUGUACCCCACGGUAAAUAGGACUGAAAGCAAAUUCACAGGGAGCAACUGAUCCAUUCCACAACAGAAUGCUCCCUGUCAAUUCGCUUUCCAUUCUGUUGUGUCCUGUCUCCCAGCAGAGACUACAAACUCCCCAAAACCACUUACCCACCAGCUGCACGUGAGAAGCCAAAGGUAGUUUAUGUGAAAGGGCUUUGGAAAUAAUCACGCACCAAGUGAAGGCAGAGGACACACCUUGUCAGCUUAGUUCUCAGCAGCAAAUCAUCUCUUUUCCAGGAUAACCCUCCCUGAUUCUUAUUGAAAUCUCUUUGCUGACCACACUAAGCUCUUCUCUCUCAGGGGCAGUGGGAGCCGUGGAGAGUGGAAUAGACCAGCUGUCUGUGACCUGCGAGGGAGUCCAAUGUCGGAAUCACUCCCCAGCCAAAUGCACGGUUUUAAAAAAUCUAUUUAUUUAUUUAUGUAGAGACCAGGCUAUGAGACUGGCUAAUUUUUCGUAUUUUUGGAUAGAGACAGGAUUUCAUCGUGUUGCCCAGGCUGGUCUUGAACUCCUGGGCUCAAGCGAUCCACCUGCCUCGGCUUCCCAAAGUGCUCAGGAUUACAGGCGUGAGCCACUGUGCCCAGCCACCAAAUGCAGUUGAAAAGAGUUUCUGCAAGAUAAUUCCACAGAAGAGGAAAGCAGUUAUCUGGCUGGGAAUACCUUAGACAGAGGCUGUCCUCUACACAGGCUGUCAGAACUGACCUACUGACCUGCCUGCUGGCAUGAUAGACCAGAGGGAAACACUCUUUCCACUCUUCCCAGACUGAGUGUAAGAGACAGACUUUUUUUUUUUUUUUUGAGACGGAGUCUCACUCUGUCACCCAGGCUGGAGUGCAAUGGCAAGAUCUCGGCUCACUGCAACCUCCACCUCCCCGGGUUCAAACCAUUCUCCUGCCUCAGCCUCCCAGGUAGCUGGGAUUACAGGCUCCCGCCACCACGCCUGGCUAAUUUUUGUAUUUUUAGUAGAGACAGGGUUUCACCAUGUUGGCCGGGCUGGUCUCGAACUCCCAACCUCAGGUGAUCCGCCUACCUUGGCCUCCCAAAGGGUUGGGAUUACAGGUGUAAGCCACUGCUCCCAGCCUUUUUUUUUUUUUUUAUUAGAGACAAGGGCUCCCCAUGUUGCCCAGGCUGAUCUUGAACUCUAGGCUCAAGCGAUCCUCCUGCCUGAGCCUCCCAAAGUGCUAGGAUUACAGGCAUGAGCACUGCUCCCAGCUCUGUUUUUGUUUUUUUAAGGAGGUAUAUUUUUUCUGUUCUCUCUCAGCCCUGAAGAAAGGCUACCCAUCCCCUUCAGACAUUCCUGAAAAUAUAUGUCAUCCAACAUCAAGGCCACCACAGUGACCACUAAGCAAUGCAAGAAGGUCCUCUGGGGUGCCCUGAGAUCUUGGCAGGGCAGGAAGAGUGAGAAGGGGCUUUGCCUGCUCACCUGAAAGUUCCCACCCAAGCCGGGCCCAGAAAACAAAAUGAAUUAUCUACAUGGUCAUCCAAUCAGCCACCAAAUGGCAUUACCUAGGUCCAUCAUCAUGUACCAAGCCACAGGUCAGACCCAGGGCCCCCCAAAUUAACAAGACACAGGCACUGUCCUCAGGAAGUGGAGAUCUAGCCAGGUCAGACCCACACACAAAUAACACUGAUACUAGAGAUAAUGAGAUUGGGAAUUAUGAUUCAGCCAUUCAACCUGGGCUUAUGUGGCAUCUACACCACCUGGCCCUGAUUUCAGUAGUGAGCACAGUUGACAGGGUCCCUUCCCUUCACAGGUGAGCCAUGUAGUCCACAAGUGGAGGUGGUCGUAAGUGAAAACCACAUUACCAGCAUGGUAAAGGGUUAGAAAGAGGGCACCGGGUGGGCGAGAACAUGAAGCAGGGGGUGCUGAUGGCUAAAGAAGUAAAGGAGGGGCUGGGCACUGUGGUUCAUGCCUAUAAUCCCAGCACUUUGGGAGACCAAGGCGGGUGGAUCACCUGAGGUCAGGAGUUCUAGACCAGCCUGGGCAACGUGGUGAAACCCUGUCUCUACUAAAAAUACAAAAAUUAGCCAGGCAUGGUGGUGCACGCCUGUAGUCCCAGCUACUUGGGAGGCUGGGGCAUGAGAAUUGCUUUAACCCGGAAGGUGGAGUUUGCAGUGAGCCGAGAUCGUGUCACUGCACUCCAGCCUGGGCGACAGAGGGAGACUCUGUCUCAAAAAAAAAAAAAAGUCAAGGAGGGUUUCCCAGAGUGGCCACUUGAUUAGAGACCUAGCACAGGAGGAAGAGAUGGGCAGGGAGAGUGACGGGGAGCAGCACAGUCCCUGGGAGCCCGAAGUGGGUGGGCACAGGGCUCCCUAGGAGAAUGGAAGGACAUCUAUGAGCUGUAGCCCAAGAGGAAGAGGUCACUGGGGCUAGAUGCGGCAGACCCUCGCAGGCUUUGGGAAGGGCUUCAGAAUUCAGCCUGAGGGCAAUGGGGAGCCCUUUUGGGAUAUUAAACUUGAGUAAGAUAUGAGCAUAUUUGCAUCUUGAAAAAUCAUUAUGGGAAGAUGGCUGGGAAGAGAGGAGGAGUGGCAGAAGAAAGAUAGGUUGGAGACAAUUGAUUGCUCGAUGAUAUAAAAUGUUAAGUACCAUGAAUGAUGCUGUUAGGCUGGAAUGCGCCAAGCAUAAAGGUGGGGCAUGGCAUCAAAAGGUAGGUCAACAUAUUAAAUAAUUCCAUGUAUUGAAAUAUCCAGAAAAUAUAUAGACAGAUCUAUAGAGAUAGAAACUGGUCUGCCCAGGACUAGGGGUUGUCUAAGGAUAAGGAGCUUCUUUUUUGGAUGGUGAAAUAACCUAAAAUAUAUUGUGCCAUUGUUUGCACAACUUUGUGAAUAUAUUAAAAACCUGUUAAUUGUACUCACUAAAUGUCCUCCUUCUAAAUUAAGCUGUUCUUGACAAGAAAAGGAAAGAAACAAAGAAAAGAAGAGAAAAAAGGUCAAGGUUUGGUCCUGGGUGCUCAAAUGGCAGGCCACAGACAGGAAACACAGUUGUGAGGAAUUACAACAGCCUCCCGGCCAGAGCUGGAGAGGUGGAGCCCAGGUCCCCUCUAACACCCCUUCUCCUGGCCAGGUUGGAGUCCCGCCACAGGCCACCAGAGCGGAGCAGCGCAGCGCCCUGUCUCCCAGCCUGAGGUGCAGUGCUGCAUCUCUGGUCAGUUGGGAGUCUGAGAUGAAGCACUGUAGCUCAGGAAGAGAGAAGUUGUUCUGCAGCCAUCAGCCUGGAAGUGGUAAGUGCUGGGGGGUUGUGGGGGGCCAUAACAGGAAGGACAGAGUGUUUCCAGACUCCAUACUAUCAGCCACUUGUGAUGCUGGGGAAGUUCCUCUACACAAGUUCCCCUGGUGCCACGAUCUGCUUCACGAGUCUGGGCAUGUCCUGACUCCUCUGUGUACCCCAGUGUGUCCAUCUUAGCAUGAGGCGUUAGCAUUUCCCCAGCACCCUGCCUCUGCUUUCUCUUUCUGAGCCCAUGGCAGACACAGCUAAUCAGUAAAGGCAUAUAUUCUUUUUUUUUUGAGACACAGUCUCACUCCAUCACCCAGGCUGGAGUGCAGUGGCAUAAUCUCAGCUCACUGCAACCUCCUCCUCCCAGGGUCAAGCAAUUCUCGUGCCUCAGCCUCCCAAGUAGCUGAGAUUACAGGUGUGCGCCACCACACCUGGCUAAUUUUUGUAUUUUUAGUAGAGAUGGGGUUUCACUAUGUUGGCCAGGCUGGUCUCAAACUCCUGACUUCAGGUGAUCUGCCCGCCUCGGCCUCCCAAAGUGCUGGGAUUACAGGCAUGAGCCUCCACGCCCCGCCAGGCAUCCAUUCUUGAAGUGCUCAGAUGCAGCUUCAGAAUCCUCAACAAUGAGCCCUGGAAAGCCACUAGUACUGAUUCACAGCUGAAACUCAUUCAUCAUUUGUGGAUCAAACAAUUCCUAAAAACCCUUUCAGCCCUGAAGAUAAAAAUUCUGGCCUUUGAGUCAGGGUCUUCACUCUGUACUUCUAACCUUGGCUCCGGGGUAUUGCCGAAACCAGUCCAGGCACGUCACAAAUGUCUGACUUCUCCCAGAGGCUUCAGAAGCACAAUGAGCAGCAGAGGAGAGCCAUGGAGCCAAGCACAGUCUCAUUUAACCUCCCCAAAAGCUUGGGAAGUGGGUGGUGUUAUAGCCCCAUUUUACAGAUGAGAAAAACUGAGGCUUAUUUAAGCAGCUCACCUAAAGUCACAUAUUGAUUGUGCUGAGCUGAGAUUGUACCCUAAUCUGCCUUCAAAUCCAUGUUUUUACCCAUUGCAUGUGAUUAUGGAACCUGGGACCGAGGAGCAGGAGGAGAACAUUCUAAAUUCUGCUCCCAUCUUGUCUUUACAUCUCAGGUCACUUUUAGCAAAGACAGACCCGGACACUUGCCAUUAAUACUACAGGCUUCCUUCCUCCUACCCCCUUCCCCCAAUCUUAUUCAUCUCACCUCUCCAGUAGGUCGUGGACUCAUGCAUUUUAUAAUUAAAGAAGGCCAAGGCUCAGGGGUUAAGUGACUUACUGGAGGUUAUCAGAGAGGAAGUUGCCAAACCCAGGCUAGGAACUGAAUGGUUGGUUUAAAUCCACCCCUCUGGCAGGAGACUGGGGAAUACACAUGAGCCGUGCAGACAGCAGAGGGCAGUCCUGGGGGUGGGGGCGCCAGAGGGUUUCCGGUACUUUUCAGGGCAAUUGAAGUUCCGGUCACUACUCCCCCCCAGAGCAAUAAGCCACAUCCGGCGACGUGUGGCACCCCACCCUGGCUGCUACAGAUGGGGCUGGAUGCAGAAGAGAACUCCAGCUGGUCCUUAGGGACACGGCGGCCUUGGCGCUGAAGGCCACUCGCUCCCACCUUGUCCUCACGGUCCAGUUUUCCCAGGAAUCCCUUAGAUGCUAAGAUGGGGAUUCCUGGAAAUACUGUUCUUGAGGUCAUGGUUUCACAGCUGGAUUUGCCUCCUUCCCACCCCACAGUUGCCCCCCAAUGGGGCCUCGGCUGGCUCACAGGAUGAGGGUUCAAGAAGAAGGCUGUCCCUGGAGGUAAGAGGGCUUAUGAACCAUGUUCCAAACCUUUGCGUUGCUUUUCUUUCCAUCGUGUCUAUUUCAUAACAUCCCUGUGAGGCUGGAUGUGGGAACUUCAGCACUGCCGUACUCUUGGGAAAUUUGUCCAAGGCCACCCGGCUGAGCAGCGGUUGAACCAGGACACCAUCAGGCAUGCGUUUCUUGUCUCCACCACACCCUCAACCCACUUCCCAACGCGCCUUGCGACAGGGGCUGCGGUAUUGCAUCCACAUGACUGAUAAACUAGUAAACACACAUGAAUUCAUUUUAAAAGUGUAUUCAAUCAGUUAGGUAAACUAAAAACCUUAAGUCUUCGUUCGAUUUGGAAUGCAGCCAGAGAACAAAUGGAAAAUUUUUCAAGGUAGAGAAGAUGAAAACUCAGAACGCCCUCUUGUGGCAUCUCUACCCACCCUAGGAACACUAUGGCUCUUCCCCUACACAUGGUGAUUGCUAACCUUGCUACAAGACGUUGGACACACACACACACACACACACACACACACACACACUGAGGUUCCUUUUGCCCCCUCACUUUUGAGCCAGUGACUACUGAAACCCUCUCCAUUGUUGCACCACCAGCAAUGCCCCCAUCACUUCCUCUCAUUUACUUCCACAGGCUGGUUCAUCCUCAAAGCCCUCCUUACGUAGAUCUGUGGGAUCAGUGAGGCUCAGAGAGGUAAAGUGGCCAGCCCAAGGUCGCCCAGACAGCAAAAGGCAGGGCCAGCGCUGAUUUCAAGUCCAAUGGCCUAUGGCAAUUUCUUAGCCAAAAGCAAAAUCUACAAAAAUAAAAAGUCAGGCACAGUGGUGAGUGCCUACAGUCCCAGCUACUGAGGAGGCCGACGGGGGAGGACCACUUGAGCUUGGGAGUUCCUGGCUGCAGAGAGCUAUGAUUGUGCCUGUGAAUAGCCAAUGCACUCCAGCCUGAGCAAGAUAGGGAGACCCUGUCUCUAAAAAAUACCUAAAUAAUUUUAAAAGUCAGCCUCUCUGACUGCCUAUAGAGAAUGCUAACUAACUGAAUGACAGAAGACCUAAUGUAAUCCAGGUGCAAAAUCAGAACUUUCCGGCCGGGCGCGGUGGCUCACACCUGUAAUCCCAACACUUUGGGAGGCCCAGGCGGGUGGAUCACGAGGUCAGGAGUUCAAGACCGGCCUGCCCAACAUGGCAAAACCCCGUCUCUACUAAAAAUACAAAAAAUUAGCUGGGCAUGGUGGUGGCCACCUAUAAUCUCAGCUACUCAGGAGGCUGAGGCAGGAGAAUUGCUUGGACCCGGGAGGCAGAGGUUGCAGUGAGCUGAGAUCGCGCCACUGCACUCCAGCGUGGGGGACAAAAGCGAAACUCUGUCUCAAAAAAAAAAAAAUUAGAACUUUCCCCGUACUCUUGCUAGGGCUUUUCAUGGAGAUGUAGAAAUGGUAGUAAGUGCCAAGGCCCCAGAACCCUCAUGUUUGGGUCCGACUCCCACAUUGCCAGAGACUAGGCAGCUCACACAGGUGUCCCAAGCUGUCUUUCUCACAGGCCGCAUUGAAGGCAUUUAUGAAAUGAGACCCCCUCUUCCUCAUCCGUAGUGACAGGGCUGGCCUGACCGUGGAGAAAUCAGAUUUGAUCAUGAUAGCUUCCACUCCGUGACUGGUCACGAUCUGCCAGGCGCUGUGCUAAACACUUUCAUAGGCCUUGUCCCCCUCCAUCCUGAUAACACCCCAGUGAAGCAGGCCCUGCUCUUCACUCCACUCCACAAAGCCAAGGCUGAGAGAGGUUAACAGACUUACCUAAGGUCACACAGCUAAGAAGUCGUGAAGCUGGGAUCGAAUCAAGUCUGUGUUUAUGGGUUUAACUAUCAUGUUGUGGCCCCAACCCCAUUUGACCUAGCCUGGCUGGUGGGCCUUCUUGCAGUAGCUUCCCCUGGAGAAGAGGAAAAGCAAACCUUCAUUGAGACCCAAGCGGUCUCUCCUGUGCUCUGUGACAAUAAUAAAGUUCCAGCCCUUGGCUCCUGU